CCUACGGGGGGCAGCAGUGGGGAAUAUUGGGCAAUGGGCGCAAGUCUGACCCAGCAACGCCGCGUGAAGGAAGAAGGCUUUCGGGUUGUAAACUUCUUUUCUGGGGGACGAACAAAUGACGGUACCCCAGGAAUAAGCCGCGGCUAACUACGUGCCAGCAGCCGCGGUAAUACGUAGGUGGCAAGCAUUAUCCGGAUUUAUUGGGUGUAAAGGGCGUGUAGGCGGGAAUGCAAGUCAGAUGAGAAAACUCAGGGCUCAACCCUGAGCCUGCAUUUGAAACUGUGUUUCUUGAGUGCUGGAGAGGCAAUCGGAAUUCCGUGUGUAGCGGUGAAAUGCGUAGAUAUACGGAGGAACACCAGUGGCGAAGGCGGAUUGCUGGACAGUAACUGACGCUGAGGCGCGAAAGCGUGGGGAGCAAACAGGAUUAGAUACCCUAGUAGUC
RNAcentral lists this ribosomal RNA (442 nucleotides) under uncultured bacterium. Its description in RNAcentral is "partial 16S ribosomal RNA". It matches the Rfam family "Bacterial small subunit ribosomal RNA", at positions 338 to 795 of the family's 1533-position model. The record is from RNAcentral.